UGCCCCGUGGUAUAGCGGUUAUCACUCUGGACUCUGAAUCUAGCGACCCGAGUUCGAGUCUUGGUGGGGCCU
RNAcentral lists this transfer RNA (72 nucleotides) under Opisthorchis viverrini. It matches the Rfam family "tRNA". From Rfam's summary of the family: Transfer RNA (tRNA) molecules are approximately 80 nucleotides in length. Their secondary structure includes four short double-helical elements and three loops (D, anti-codon, and T loops). Further hydrogen bonds mediate the characteristic L-shaped molecular structure. tRNAs have two regions of fundamental functional importance: the anti-codon, which is responsible for specific mRNA codon recognition, and the 3' end, to which the tRNAs corresponding amino acid is attached (by aminoacyl-tRNA synthetases). tRNAs cope with the degeneracy of the genetic code in two manners: having more than one tRNA (with a specific anti-codon) for a particular amino acid; and 'wobble' base-pairing, i.e. permitting non-standard base-pairing at the 3rd anti-codon position. Lineage: Eukaryota; Metazoa; Platyhelminthes; Trematoda; Opisthorchiida; Opisthorchiidae. The record is from Rfam by way of RNAcentral.